GAUCAAACUUGUAAGUUGGAAAAUUUAUCACCUUGUACCAAAUGAACUUGAAGAGUUAUAAAAAACAUAAGAUGAACUCUUGGAGAAGAGCCUAAUUCAAAAAAAUAUGUCACCAUAGGAAGAACCUAUAUUCUUUGUAUCUAAAAAGAUGGUAGACUCAAGCUUUUCAUCAAUUAUUGAGGCACUAGUGAACAAACUAUGAAGAAUGCAUAUCUACUUUCACAUAUAGAUG
Molecule: long non-coding RNA, 232 nt
Filed under: Physcomitrium patens
Lineage: Eukaryota; Viridiplantae; Streptophyta; Bryopsida; Funariales; Funariaceae
Description: long non-coding RNA (PPAT_LNC000197)
Source: RNAcentral